UGGCUAAUUUAGUAGAGCAUGGUGUUUGCAACGCCAGGGUUGUGGGAUCGAUUCCCAC
RNAcentral lists this transfer RNA (58 nucleotides) under Salmo salar (Atlantic salmon). It matches the Rfam family "tRNA", at positions 8 to 63 of the family's 71-position model. Rfam says of the family: Transfer RNA (tRNA) molecules are approximately 80 nucleotides in length. Their secondary structure includes four short double-helical elements and three loops (D, anti-codon, and T loops). Lineage: Eukaryota; Metazoa; Chordata; Actinopteri; Salmoniformes; Salmonidae. The record is from Rfam by way of RNAcentral.